Molecule: ribosomal RNA, 490 nt
Filed under: uncultured bacterium
Lineage: Bacteria
Description: partial 16S ribosomal RNA
Rfam family: Bacterial small subunit ribosomal RNA
Source: RNAcentral
AUUGAACGCUGGCGGCAUGCCUAACACAUGCAAGUCGAACGGUAACAGGAAGAAGCUUGCUUCUUUGCUUUCGAGUGGCGGACGGGUGUGUCAUGUCUGGGAAACUCCUUUAUGGAGGGGGUUAACUACUGGAAACGGUACCUAUUACCGCAUAUUUUCUCAACACCAAAGUGCGGGACCUUCUGGCCUCUUUCCAUCGUCUUUUCCCUGAUGGGAUUAGCUAGUAGGUGGGGUAACGGCUCACCUAGUCGACGAUCCCUAUCUGGUCUGAGAGGUUGACCAGCCACACGGGAAGUGAGACACGGUCCAGACUCCUACGGGAGGCAGCAGUGGGGAAUAUUGCACAAUGGGCGAAAGCCUGAUGGAGCAAUGCCGCGUGUAUGAAGAAGGCCUUCGGGUUGUAAAGUACUGUGAGCGGGGAGGAAGGGAGGAAAGAGAAAACGUGAGCACAUUGACGGUACCCGAAGAAGAAGCACCGGCUAACUACGUG